UGAGGAAUAUUGGUCAAUGGACGCAAGUCUGAACCAGCCAUGCCGCGUGGAGGAUGAAGGCCUUCUGGGUUGUAAACUUCUUUUAUUGGGGAAGAAAAGCACGGUUUCUACUGUGUCCGACGGUACCCAAGGAAUAAGCACCGGCUAACUCCGUGCCAGCAGCCGCGGUAAUACGGAGGGUGCAAGCGUUAUCCGGAUUCACUGGGUUUAAAGGGUGUGUAGGCGGGCUGUUAAGUCAGUGGUGAAAUCUCAAGGCUCAACCUUGAAACUGCCAUUGAUACUAUCAGUCUUGAAUCUUGUUGAGGUAGGCGGAAUAUGUCAUGUAGCGGUGAAAUGCUUAGAUAUGACAUAGAACACCGAUUGCGAAGGCAGCUUACUAAACAAGCAUUGACGCUGAGGCACGAAAGCGUGGGGAUCAAACAGG
This 424-nucleotide ribosomal RNA is filed under the name uncultured bacterium. RNAcentral describes it as "bacterial SSU rRNA". It matches the Rfam family "Bacterial small subunit ribosomal RNA", at positions 355 to 776 of the family's 1533-position model. The record is from RNAcentral.